GAGAGAGAGAGAGAGAGAGAGAGAGAGGAGAGUGUAAGUGCGGUGAUGUUUGUGUCUGUGGUCGGCUAAAGCUCUGUGUGUGUUUGUGUGUAGCUGGCUAUGUGUCUGUAUGACUGUGUCUGAGUGUGUCUGAGUGUGUGCAUGAGUGUGUGUGUGUGUGUGUAUGUGGAGUGUGUUCGCUCUGGACUGGAGGGGAUAUCCAAGAAAAAUGUCAGCGAGUCAACAACAACAGAGGCAGGCUAGCGGUCGGAUGUGUAUUUACCUUUUCUCUCAUACCGGGAGAUAGAAGAGGCGCUCGUUCAUUCAGGAGGAGGACGUUACCGGAAUACCUAAGAGACGAGUGGAGCUGAACCGUCUCCCGCCUGUCUGACUGUCUGUCUGCCUGGCUAACGUCAAUUAAAUCUGUAGCUGGGGAGAGCGUUUCAAUCCACAGCCGUCAAGGAUUCUAUCGUCGGAUGAAGAUGGAGUCAUUCCGCCGCUGUGGACGUUAACGGACGUUAACGGACGUUAGGGUCUGGAGAGGCUGGUUGGAGAAGUUGAGCGAGGAGACUGAAGGGAAAGAGGGGAGAGGCGGUUUCGGUUAGCUAAAGGACGCAGCCAGCCCAGCCCUGGAUUGGAACAGGAGAUUAGAAGAAGAGGAAGAGAAAGCUAUGUGGUGUCACCGCUGCCGCCAGUCUCGUCUGUGGUGGAGUCUCGAAGCCAGUGGUCGUUAAAAACGGCCCGGUUUGAUCAGUGAAGCCCCUAGCCCACUCUCUCUCUCUCUCUCUCUCUCUCUCUCUCUCUCUCUCUCUCUCUCUCUCUCUCCUCUUCUCUCUCGCUACCACUACCUCGCUCUUCCUUUCCCUUCUCUUUAAAUGUAAAUGACAUCGGUGGUUUCUCAGUAAGUACGCUUGUCUCGUGACACAUGAGAUAUUUUAAAAAACCAUCCAUGAAGAUGUUGAUGUGUGACCGGGGCGUCCAGAUGCUGGUGACCACCGUGGGGGCUUUCGCAGCCUUCAGCCUCAUGACUAUAGCGGUCGGCACCGACUACUGGCUGUACUCACGAGGGACGUGCAAAAGCAAAAGCACCAAUGACAACGACACGAGCCGGAAGAAUGAAGAGGUGAUGACUCACUCUGGUCUGUGGCGAACCUGCUGUCUGGAAGGAACAUUCCGAGGCGUAUGUAAGAAGAUUGAUCAUUUCCCAGAAGCUACAGAUUAUGAGGCCGAUGCAGCGGAAUACCUCCUCCGAGCUGUGCGAGCCUCCAGUAUAUUCCCCAUAAUGAGUGUGGGUCUACUGUUCCUGGGAGGGCUGUGUGUGGCUGCCAGCGAGUUCUACAGGAGCCGACACAACGUCAUCCUCAGCGCAGGCAUCUUCUUCGUUGCCUCAGGCCUCAGUAACAUCAUUGGCAUAAUCGUCUACAUAUCAGCUAACUCUGGUGACCCAGGUCAGAGUGACAGUAAGAAGAGUUACUCCUACGGCUGGUCCUUCUACUUCGGGGCGUUGUCCUUCAUCAUGGCAGAGAUGGUGGGUGUCCUGGCGGUCCACAUGUUUAUAGAGAAACACCGUAAGCAGAGGGCCAAGUCCCGCACCGAGCUCAUCAAGAAAUCAGCCUUCAGCCGCAUACCUUCCUACCGUUACCGCUUCCGGCGCCGCUCCAGCAUCCGUUCCUCUGAGGCGCCCAGCCGGGAUGCCUCUCCCAUCGGCAAGGGGGGUUACACCGGCCCGGCAGCCUCCGACCUCCCCAUGUAUACGCUCACCCCCCGCGAAGCGGGAACCAAGGCCGCCAUGGGGGCACUGCUCAAUUCGGAGAGGGAGUUUCUACAGGGCGGUACUCUGACCAAUACCAAGGACUACGGCAAAGACGCGGCCAAUAGGAGAACCACGCCCGUCUGAGGGAGGCGGGACCUAGGAGAUGAUUGGAUGGGAGCUGGAUGAUGAUGAUGAUGAUGAUGAGAGACAGUGAGGGAGGAAGAGGAGAGGCAUUAUGACCUUUCACUACUCUGCCCCCCCCCCUCCAGGGGAUUGGAGUUAGACGUUGUUCCUAACCACAGAUCUAGGAUCAGAUUCCCACUAAACUUUUAACCCUAACCUCAACCACUAGUGGGGGGGAUGAAGACAGAUCAGUCCCUGGAUCAGUGCUUAGGACCAGCUACUAUCUACGACAAGAGGAGGGACCCCGUUUUUUGAGCUCUGAACUUUUAACUGUGAACUCUGACCCCUAACCCCUCCCCUCCAUUUAGGGUCACUCAGUAGCAGGAUGUGUGUUGUGUCGGCUUCUACCCUUCCACUGUUUCUAUACUAGUUCUUUCGGUUGCAAAAUUUUCCAGAAAUCCCGGUUCGGAGGGCUCCGGAUUCCCUCCUGAUUCCAGGAAUCUUCCAACCAGGAUUUCUGGAAAACCUGAGAAUUUGGGAGAAGUUAGCAGAAUUUUACAACCCCUAUCAGUUAUAUUUAACAGAACAGGUAGACCACCCCCCCCUCCCCCCCACACCUUUCCCCAAAUUCCCAGGUUUUCCAGAAAUCCCGGUUGGAUGGUUCGAGGAAUCUUCCAACUAGGAUUUCUGUAAAAGUGUUGUGGUGAUGAAGUUUACCAUGGGGCCGAUGUAGCAGGGAGAGGAGGAGGAGGAGGAGAGGAGGAAGAGGAGAGGAGGAAGAGGAGAGGACUGCAGAGCUCAAUCUGACUGAACACUGAACAUUGAGGACGUUACGUUAGGCCCGCAUCACUGGAGCCACAUGACACUGUUCUGCCGUUCAGCCCCACAGACCAACGGACGGACGGACGGAGCAGAGCAGAGCAGAACAGAACACACGCUGGACUGGACAUCAAGACACUAUACAGCUCUAUACAGCUAUACACAGAGCCAGCCACACACAGAGAGAGAGAGAGAGAACGUGUUGGACAAUCACUGUGCCAGCUCUGGAAUCAUUGUGUUGUAUGCAUUCAGAAUCAAUGUUAACAGACCGUGUGUGUGUGUGUGUGUGUGUGUGUGUGUGUGUGUGUUUGCGUGUGUCUGCGUGUGUGUGUGUG
This is an RNA transcript of Coregonus clupeaformis (lake whitefish), 3009 nucleotides long. It is a transcript of the gene named voltage-dependent calcium channel gamma-3 subunit-like, with no coding region annotated. The transcript has 6 exons. The record is from RefSeq and is a predicted model, not a curated record. Lineage: Eukaryota; Metazoa; Chordata; Actinopteri; Salmoniformes; Salmonidae.